GUGAAAUACCUGCUUAGGAUGAAUGCGAGCAUUCCUACCCUAAUACCCCGACAUGCUAUGAUAAAUCCGUGUUUAUCAUGGUGUGAAGCUCGGAGAGGACGGCGAAACUUGACCUGAGAUGGUCAGGAGUAGUCGGGGGGCUAGAAA
Bacillus sp. MRMR6 is the source of this 147-nucleotide non-coding RNA. The record is from Rfam. NCBI's taxonomy places the organism in Bacteria, Bacillati, Bacillota, Bacilli, Caryophanales, Bacillaceae.